GUAGGGUGGGCAAGCGUUGUCCGGAUUUACUGGGCGUAAAGAGCGCGCAGGCGGUCGAGUAAGUCGAAUGUGAAAGCUCCCGGCUCAACUGGGAAGGGUCAUUCGAUACUGUUCGACUCGAAGGUAGGAGAGGGAAGCGGAAUUCCCGGUGUAGUGGUGAAAUGCGUAGAUAUCGGGAGGAACACCAGUGGCGAAGGCGGCUUUCUGGCCUAUUCUUGACGCUGAGGCGCGAAAGCUAGGGGAGCGAACGGGAUUAGAUACCCCGGUAGUCCUAGCCGUAAACGAUGAACACUAGAUGUUGGUGGUAUCAACCCCGCCAGUGUCGCAGCUAACGCAUUAAGUGUUCCGCCUGGGGAGUACGGCCGCAAGGCUA
RNAcentral lists this ribosomal RNA (373 nucleotides) under uncultured organism. RNAcentral describes it as "partial 16S ribosomal RNA". It matches the Rfam family "Bacterial small subunit ribosomal RNA", at positions 525 to 896 of the family's 1533-position model. The record is from RNAcentral.